UUGUAGGACACUCUAUACGGAGUUACAAAGGACGACAUUAGACGAAUCAUCUGGAAAGAUGAAUCAAAGAAGGUAAUAAUCCUGUAGUCGAAAAUGUUGUCUCUCUUGAGUGGAUCCUGAGUACGACGGAGCACGUGAAAUUCCGUCGGAAUCUGGGAGGACCAUCUCCUAAGGCUAAAUACUCUCUAGUGACCGAUAGUGAACCAGUACCGUGAGGGAAAGGUGAAAAGCACCCCGGAAGGGGAGUGAAAUAGAACCUGAAACCGUGUGCUUACAAGUAGUCAGAGCCCGUUAAUGGGUGAUGGCGUGCCUUUUGUAGAAUGAACCGGCGAGUUACGAUUUGAUGCAAGGUUAAGCAGUAAAUGUGGAGCCGUAGCGAAAGCGAGUCUGAAUAGGGCGUUUAGUAUUUGGUCGUAGACCCGAAACCAGGUGAUCUACCCUUGGUCAGGUUGAAGUUCAGGUAACACUGAAUGGAGGACCGAACCGACUUACGUUGAAAAGUGAGCGGAUGAACUGAGGGUAGCGGAGAAAUUCCAAUCGAACCUGGAGAUAGCUGGUUCUCUCCGAAAUAGCUUUAGGGCUAGCCUCAAGUGAUGAUUAUUGGAGGUAGAGCACUGUUUGGACGAGGGGCCCCUCUCGGGUUACCGAAUUCAGACAAACUCCGAAUGCCAAUUAAUUUAACUUGGGAGUCAGAACAUGGGUGAUAAGGUCCGUGUUCGAAAGGGAAACAGCCCAGACCACCAGCUAAGGUCCCAAAAUAUAUGUUAAGUGGAAAAGGAUGUGGCGUUGCCCAGACAACUAGGAUGUUGGCUUAGAAGCAGCCAUCAUUUAAAGAGUGCGUAAUAGCUCACUAGUCGAGUGACACUGCGCCGAAAAUGUACCGGGGCUAAACAUAUUACCGAAGCUGUGGAUUGUCCUUUGGACAAUGGUAGGAGAGCGUU
RNAcentral lists this ribosomal RNA (941 nucleotides) under Staphylococcus aureus. Its description in RNAcentral is "partial 23S ribosomal RNA". It matches the Rfam family "Bacterial large subunit ribosomal RNA", at positions 296 to 1240 of the family's 2925-position model. Lineage: Bacteria; Bacillati; Bacillota; Bacilli; Caryophanales; Staphylococcaceae. The record is from RNAcentral.